Molecule: long non-coding RNA, 217 nt
Filed under: Elaeis guineensis (African oil palm)
Lineage: Eukaryota; Viridiplantae; Streptophyta; Magnoliopsida; Arecales; Arecaceae
Description: long non-coding RNA (EGUI_LNC069843)
Source: RNAcentral
ACAUGGAAAGUGGUUGUGGAUCAAGUCAAAGUAGGAAUUAGUUUGGAUUUCAAAUUCUAUGAGAUAGAGUUUUAGGAAACCAAAACUCUUUCCUUAUGGCACUAAUUUUAUCUAGAUUUUUUUAAGAUUUUCAUAAAUUUUAUGGUACAUAAUAUGCACCCUUUUCUGGUGGUCCACACACAAAAAGAAAGAGGGGGCACCCAAGAGUUGGGCGCCC